This 253-nucleotide ribosomal RNA is filed under the name uncultured bacterium. Its description in RNAcentral is "partial 16S ribosomal RNA". It matches the Rfam family "Bacterial small subunit ribosomal RNA", at positions 524 to 776 of the family's 1533-position model. The record is from RNAcentral.
UACGUAGGGCGCAAGCGUUGUCCGGAAUUAUUGGGCGUAAAGGGCUCGUAGGCGGUUUGUCGCGUCUGCUGUGAAAACCUAAGGCUCAACCUUGGGCUUGCAGUGGGUACGGGCAGACUAGAGUGCGGUAGGGGUGACUGGAAUUCCUGGUGUAGCGGUGGAAUGCGCAGAUAUCAGGAGGAACACCGGUGGCGAAGGCGGGUCUCUGGGCCGUAACUGACGCUGAGGAGCGAAAGCGUGGGGAGCGAACAGG